Molecule: long non-coding RNA, 4683 nt
Organism: Cryptomeria japonica (Japanese cedar)
Lineage: Eukaryota; Viridiplantae; Streptophyta; Pinopsida; Cupressales; Cupressaceae
Exons: 2
Source: RefSeq, a predicted model, not a curated record
UUCUUUACAUUUUGCAAGCUGCACAAGGAAAUGAAUGCACAUACAUUUCCGCGUGCAGCUUGCAAAACUGCCAAGAAAUGAAUUCUAUAUUCAGAUUUUGAGUGUUUCUUAUAUAUCUUUAAUGAAAUCAUAUGUAUGAGAUUAGAUGCAGUUCAGUUUUUAAAGAGAUCAUUACUAAGGUUUUAGUUGCUGAAAGGAUUGAAACACUAGCAAGUAUUGUUUCAUUUAUUCUAUAUGCUUUUAAAGGCUAGUUCAGUCUAUGGAGGCCUGCGUGCAAUUUAUAUAUUCAUAUGAAAUUCUGUUUGGAGUUGGAUCUACAACUUUUAAUAGUAUUUUAGAUUCGAAUUUUUGUUUUGUUUUGUUUUGGUGUAUAGGUCUAAGAGUUUUUGUUAAAUUCAUCCAGAUAUGGUGGUUUUUAAAGAGUGGAAAUCUGUUUAGAAUUUGGAAUUGUAGAAAUUUAGUUUUCUUAGGGAGUUUAAAGUAAAUAAUCAGUAUAUUAUCAGUUAGUUGUUUCUGGAUUUGAUUGCAUAACUUAUUUUUAGUAUUGACAUUUCGGAUCACAUGCCAUGAUCCAUUAUCACAGGAUGUUUGGAGAAUGCCGAGAGAUGUACGAUAGUAAGUUGCUAAUAUUAAGUUACAUAAUCAAAUUCAGAAGCAACUAACUGAUAUUAGCAUGGAUUGUGAAAAUCUGAUUACAUUACUCAGCAUAUUGUUUGGUAUUUUGAAGGUUAUAAGAGGUUUGACUUUCGGAUGUUUAUUUAAGUUCCCCCCUUUCCAAGAACUUAUGGUUAUAUCAUUUCUAUAUGUAUACUAAAUCUUGAUUUGUUCUAAUGUUUAUGGUAUUUAACAAUUAUGGUAGGACACUUUGUAUGGUUGUCAAAAUCUCAUUGACCUCUCCCCACAAGGGAUAGUCCCCUUCUUGUGGAUGUAAGGUGAGUACAUAGUUACAAUGCUCAUAGAAACAAUUCUAAUGGUUCCCAUGGUUCUCCACUACUUUAGCAUAGAGCUUAGGUUCAUAGUACUUAUGGUUGGUCUUAGCGAACUUUCCUACCUUGUGUUGGAUUAGGACUACAUGAUAUAGGUGCUCUUGGUUGGUUGGAUAGCCCUGUUGGACUAAUACCCAACGUCCCCUUUAGAUUUGGGACAUGGGCUAACUGCCUCCUAUGGAUCCGUUUAUCUUUGGCAUUUGUAUGAGAUGUUAAUAGGUCGAUCUUUUGGUCUAACGGAAAACAUGUUCCAACAAAUAGUAUUGGAUCCAAGUGGUGGGUUCAAAUACCCUUGGGUGACAUUAGGGGGGAGGGAGAUUCUUGGACUAAUCGUCAACGUCCCCCUUUGGAUUUGGGACAUGGACUAACUGCCUCAUGCAGAUCAGUUUAUCUCUGGCAUUUGUAUUCAACAUUAAUAGGUCGAUCUUUUGGCAAAACAACAAACAUGUUCCAACAAGCCCAAAGUUUAUUGCUUGGAAUUUUACACUACUUCUAAUAGGAAUUAAACUUGACUAAUAGAUGAAGAUAAAAAUAAUGAUGGAGGAGACAUCAUUUGUUGGGAGUCAAUUCCUAAAGCCUAGGAGCUUCACAAUUGCUUGGUAGAUCUUUAUGCUCAUCAUUUGACAUCACCACCUGUUGCAUUCAUAGCUCCUGCAAAUUAAUAGUUUAAUCAGUUAUCUAUCAUGAUCUUGUUUUGUUGUUUGUGUUUAAGGCCUUGUAUCUCAGAAACAUUGGGGUGUGAUGCCAUUCUAGCUAUCUUUCAUUUGUUUAUAUUAUAAAAAAAUCUUGUUUAUACAAGGAACAUGUAAAACACAUUCAUUAAAAAAAUAUUCUUGUGUGAGAUUCUUCUCUUUUACCCUAUCUAUUAUUUAAUUAAUCUAAAUUUGACACUCAAUAUUUUAAUUUUUUCUUUAAAAAAUAAAAUAGAAAAAGAUGUAUCGGAUGCUCAAUCAAUCAUUUGUUGAUCAUGUUUAAGCCAACAAAAAAUGUUGUUGAUUAAGAAACUAUGCCACUUGCCUACAUAUGGUGUGAAUCACAUUAAAAUUCCAAUAUAUCAAGUAUCAAAAUGAAUUUUUAUUUGUAACUUUUUACUCUUUUGAAUGUUAUUAGUGGUGGUUACUUGUAGUUAUUUAUUAUGCAUUUAUAUUAAUUUAUUCCAUCUUUGUUGAAUUUGAGAUAUGUCCUCUCAUUAUUUUAGUGAUAUUUUAUUUGGUGAUUAUAAUACACAAGUGAAAACUAAUGGCCACCUUUCAAAUUGAUCAUUUAAGGUUUUCCACAUUUUCUAGAUUAGAUACUCCAUGGUGUUGGUAAAUCAUGAGUUUUAUUCUUAAUGUAGGAUCCUCCUUCGUGUUGUGCCUCAUUGAAUUUGAUAUUAUUAAGUCACCACCAUAUAUAUUUUCUAUGAGUGAACUAUUGGUCUCUCUAAGGGGGAGAUAAAUAAAGGUAUCUAUAUUGAGAUUUAUAUAGAUUCUACCUCCAAUCCAUGUGAAGUGCACUAAACAAUCACUAUCUCCAAAACACCAACACUACUUAGAUCUAUAUAUUCAUUAUAGGGAUAGACUCAUCUUCCUCCUCCUAAGAUAUAAUAUAUUAUAUAUAUUUUCUAGCCUAAAGACCCCUCUUCCAUACAACUUAAAGUUUGCUCACACCAACAUUGCAUUGAGAUUUACGAUUAUAUUCCUCAACAACAUCAUAUUUUUUAGCUAUGUUCUUCCUUACAAUGUGAUCAAAUAAUUUAUUUUUCCUUUCAAAGAUGCACUUCCAAAGUUCUUUCUAGAGUCUAACUUAAUAGAAGGACUAGAUAUUCUUCUUAUGGGAUAUGUUUUAACUUCAUUAACAACUUUCUAGAGGGAUAUUCAUGAAAUAAAAUCAUACUAUAUUGACUACUUCCUAUUUCUAACCUCUAAGUUCAUUAUGAAGAGUGCCCAACAUAGCCAACUUCCAAGUUUAUAUUAUAGAUCCAUGAUGCAUCACAAGUUACAUAGUUACCUCGAUAGCCUUAAGUUCUUUACACUCUUUUAUAGGCUUGAUUAUUAGAAUAUCUAUCAAAGAUCUUUAGGGUUUGUGUAUAAAACCUUAAUUUCCUUCAUUGUAUUAUUCAGUAUAUAUUUUUGUAUUUAUUUGGGUUGUACCCCUACACUAAAUUUCCCUCUAUACAUUGUACCUCUUUGAGUCCCACAAUCAAUUUUUGAGCUUCUAUAGACAAAUUAACACGUAAAUUAACUUAAAUUAUUGAAUUUAUUAUCUAUUAAUUUUUAUAUUUGUCUAAUGAUACUUGAUGACUAUUAUUAAAAUUUAAUUUUGAAGUGAUAAGAAUUUAAAAAUAUAAGAAUACAUCUUUCAAUAUUUGGUAUAAUUACAUAGACUGGUAUGAAUGUAAAGGCUACAUGUAUCUAGUAAAAGUAUCACCCAGCUUUUUAUAUAAUUAAAAAAGUAGAAGAAGAAAUGGCUAAUAAAAUAUGAAUGAAAAUCAUUAAACAAAUAAGUUAUUACCUAUCCAAUUAUUAGUUCCUGCCAGCAGGAAACUACAGGGGAGGCUAUUUUGCUUAACCCUUUAUUAAUCUGAGCAUGCCCAACCAAUCAAAGAUUGUUUUGUUGCAAAAUUUCCCUAUUUCCUUACUUUCUUUCCCAUAAAGAUGCAUAUUAUUUAAGCGAAUUAUAAUGCUUGAGCUUUUUUGGCGUGUGGAUAUUCGAUAUUUGGAUGGUUUAGAGAGUUUGUGCGGUUCUCAACGAAGAGAGAACGCACAUCUCCAGAGGCAGCUGCAGGGCCGUCAAAGCAGAGUCACUGACGGUGGUUUGAAACAGAUGGCCUCUAGGGAAUGUUGUGGAAUGCAGGAUGUAGAACAAUUGGUAAUAGAAGAAUACACUGGUUUGCAUGCUGGACAGUUGUGGGUUGUCCCGUGGGGGUUUGCAUCUUCAGCAUUGUUAUCAUCUUUGCUAAAGCCUUGACUCUCUGCUUUUGAAACUGAUGAGUGAAUUUUAACAUUUUCAUUGUUCACACAUUAAUGGUAAUAUGUCUGCUCCGCAUGCGAUUCUCGCCCAACAGAUUUUAAACUCCCCUGCUGCGUCCGUUUCGCCUUCGCCUACGGAUGUCCACCACAAGGUUGGUGCCUCCCAUGUUGCCGCCCCUACAGCUUAUGCCACAGCUGUUUCCCUUGCCCUUGUUGCUGCAACUUUUUCAAUGGAGGCUUCGGGGAUUUCCCGCUACCUGCGGAAAUAUGGUCUCAGAAAAUUCUUGUUCUUGGACCAACUGUGCGAUGACACUGCUCAAGUGCAACUGGGGUACACAAUGGAGGUGCGCUCCCCGCAUCUAUAGUUGGUAAGGUUCUGGUGGCCAUUGAUCAUGGACCCAAAAGCAAGCAUGCAUUUGAUUGGGCCAUUGUGCACUUUUGUAGGAUGGCUGAUACACUCCAUCUUGUGCAUGUUGUUUCCAGUUUAGGAAUACAAAAGCUCUGAACAGCCAGAAAGCUCACAGAGAAGCCUGAAAUAAAAUACACAAUUUAUUAUCAUUGUACUCGUUUGACUAGUUUCAUCUUCAGAAAAGAACGGAAGCAGAUACAUUUGCUAAAUAUAUGCAUUGCAUAUAUAUAUAUAUUCUUACACUUUGAAUUGCAAUGUUGCAAAUGCUUGUUUUCAGAAUUUCACUGUUCUGUAUGUUUUUUUUUUUCGUAAGUGUAAUAUAUCUCCUCUUUCUCAA